Papaver somniferum (opium poppy) is the source of this 1636-nucleotide long non-coding RNA. RefSeq lists it as uncharacterized. Lineage: Eukaryota; Viridiplantae; Streptophyta; Magnoliopsida; Ranunculales; Papaveraceae. The record is from RefSeq and is a predicted model, not a curated record. The transcript is spliced from 4 exons.
AAAAAAAUCCAGUGAAAACCGUUUGAUUCAUUCCUCCUCCUCCCAAGAAUGGCAACAUAAGCAUUUUCAUUAGCUUCCACUUUAUUCUCAUAACCUAAUCUUCUCUCCGUUUCUUCUUCAUCGCUUGUUCCAUUCACAAAUCAGGUUUUCUUUCAAAACAAAUCUUGUAAUUUCAACAAAGUUGGGAUUUUGAGAAGAACCCAUGAAAGUUUAUCAGUUAAAUCUGUAACUUUAGAUUUUUCAGGUUCAUCCUUUGAAGGAGGUGUUGGAGAAGAUGAUUAAUCACCAUCAUCUGGUGGUAUUUUAGGAGCUACUGAAGAGAAAGAAGAACCUCAAUGACCACCUGGUUUAAGACAAUAUGAAACUAUGGCUGUUUUAAUACCUGAUAUGACUGAAGAUGAGCAUCUUGCUCUUACCCAGAAGUAUGAAGAGGUCUUGCCACACCCUUGUGGAUGUUUGAUGGAAUGGAAAGGACGCAAUUCCAUAGUAACAACCUGAGGUACUGCAGGAAGGUCCUAUGUUGACUGAACGUGAUGCGGCAAAACUUCAGAGGAAAAAAAAAGUAAGGACGGGCGGCAAAGAGGAGGUGAGACGACGACAUUUAAGUCAAACUACAACUAAAACUACCGAUUAGUUUUGUCCUCUGUCACCACUCAGGCACAAUAUCUGAUGCAUUUGUUGGAAAUGGAAGCAGCUAAACGCUGCCAGUUGUAUCUGUAAACCACGAUAAUGAUAUCGAGGAUCCAGCUGUGGAAGAUAUCCAUAUGGAGAGCUUUAUUGUUUUAAUUGGAGGUCCUGAAUUCAUUCGGAUGGGUCAGUCACACUCUCUUAUGUGGGGCAAUAUGGUCUGCUCGCAAGAAAUGGAACCGGGAAAAUCUCUUUCCUCAGGUAUAUGACAUUGCAUGCCAUUGACGGAAUCCUAAGUCGAGAGGUUUCAGCUUCAGAAAGAAAAAGCUUGUCUAACUGCACUUCAGGGAGAUUUGGAGUCCGAGACUGCAGGAAAAAAACCCACUGAGGAGUUGAACGAAGUUGCUGCUUCACAAAAGCUUGAACGAUUUGUAGGCUUCAGUAGCUCAGGAAGCUUCCAUUAUUGCGAUCAGUUCUCUUAAACUUUCAUGAUGUUGCUAGCCUUAAAAAGUUUCUCAACCACAGCAAUAGUUUUAUUGAAAAUUACCACUGAGGUCUUGAAUAAGACGAUUAGUUCUUAUCUUGUUUUAUUAGAAUUUGUCCCUGUUAAUAUAUGGAAGAAAUUGACUUCUUAAAGAAAACCAAACAAACCAUUACAGUAAUUCGUAAGGAAUAGCAAGAUAAUCUAAGCACAAAAGUGGGCUUCUCUCUUAAACCCAGAAUGAUUUUUACCCUUAACUGUGUAUUGGUUUUGUAACUUGCCAAAGAUAAAAUUGUUUCCAAGUAGUUCAUAACAUCAAGACCAGUAUCGUGCUCUAGUCAUGUCAGUACUGUUCUUAUCUCGUCCUGUUUCAGUUGUCUCGAGGGGUUAUCUUCCUAAUGUAUUUAAGCUCACUCGAAACUCUGUUAAGUGAGACAUAACUUAGAAUUCAUUUAGAUGCAUCUCUACGUAGCAACCUACUGAUUCUAGGAAUUAGUUUGUUACUUCCAAGGUGUCUUAAAAAUACAA